RNAcentral lists this unclassified non-coding RNA (254 nucleotides) under fungal sp. RNAcentral's name for it is "partial internal transcribed spacer region". The stretch from base 1 to 46 matches the Rfam family "Eukaryotic small subunit ribosomal RNA", at positions 1786 to 1831 of the family's 1831-position model. Lineage: Eukaryota; Fungi. The record is from RNAcentral.
AAGUCGUAACAAGGUAACCGUAGGUGAACCUGCGGUUGGAUCAUUAACAAAUUCAAUUGAAGAGGGUUUGUUCUUUCGAGAGCAAAUCCCUUUUUCAAACACCUUUGUGAACCGUUUAUUGUAUCUUGGUGUUGUUGGUUUAACCGCUGACGCACCAAAACAUGUUAUUAAACUUUAUUUAUUCAACCUGUCUUUAUGUUAAUUUUUUAAUUCAAAAAAUAAAACAACUUUUGGCAACGGAUCUCUAGGCUCUU